RNAcentral lists this ribosomal RNA (1122 nucleotides) under Arthrobacter sp. MM80May. RNAcentral's name for it is "bacterial SSU rRNA". It matches the Rfam family "Bacterial small subunit ribosomal RNA", at positions 209 to 1342 of the family's 1533-position model. The record is from RNAcentral. Lineage: Bacteria; Bacillati; Actinomycetota; Actinomycetes; Micrococcales; Micrococcaceae.
GCUUUUGUGGUUUUGGAUGGACUCGCGGCCUAUCAGCUUGUUGGUGGGGUAAUGGCCUACCAAGGCGACGACGGGUAGCCGGCCUGAGAGGGUGACCGGCCACACUGGGACUGAGACACGGCCCAGACUCCUACGGGAGGCAGCAGUGGGGAAUAUUGCACAAUGGGCGCAAGCCUGAUGCAGCGACGCCGCGUGAGGGAUGACGGCCUUCGGGUUGUAAACCUCUUUCAGUAGGGAAGAAGCGAAAGUGACGGUACCUGCAGAAGAAGCGCCGGCUAACUACGUGCCAGCAGCCGCGGUAAUACGUAGGGCGCAAGCGUUAUCCGGAAUUAUUGGGCGUAAAGAGCUCGUAGGCGGUUUGUCGCGUCUGCUGUGAAAGACCGGGGCUCAACUCCGGUUCUGCAGUGGGUACGGGCAGACUAGAGUGCAGUAGGGGAGACUGGAAUUCCUGGUGUAGCGGUGAAAUGCGCAGAUAUCAGGAGGAACACCGAUGGCGAAGGCAGGUCUCUGGGCUGUAACUGACGCUGAGGAGCGAAAGCAUGGGGAGCGAACAGGAUUAGAUACCCUGGUAGUCCAUGCCGUAAACGUUGGGCACUAGGUGUGGGGGACAUUCCACGUUUUCCGCGCCGUAGCUAACGCAUUAAGUGCCCCGCCUGGGGAGUACGGCCGCAAGGCUAAAACUCAAAGGAAUUGACGGGGGCCCGCACAAGCGGCGGAGCAUGCGGAUUAAUUCGAUGCAACGCGAAGAACCUUACCAAGGCUUGACAUGAACCGGUAAUACCUGGAAACAGGUGCCCCGCUUGCGGUCGGUUUACAGGUGGUGCAUGGUUGUCGUCAGCUCGUGUCGUGAGAUGUUGGGUUAAGUCCCGCAACGAGCGCAACCCUCGUUCUAUGUUGCCAGCGCGUUAUGGCGGGGACUCAUAGGAGACUGCCGGGGUCAACUCGGAGGAAGGUGGGGACGACGUCAAAUCAUCAUGCCCCUUAUGUCUUGGGCUUCACGCAUGCUACAAUGGCCGGUACAAAGGGUUGCGAUACUGUGAGGUGGAGCUAAUCCCAAAAAGCCGGUCUCAGUUCGGAUUGGGGUCUGCAACUCGACCCCAUGAAGUCGGAGUCGCUAGUAAU